This 1064-nucleotide long non-coding RNA is filed under the name Populus trichocarpa (black cottonwood). RNAcentral describes it as "long non-coding RNA (PTRI_LNC002402)". The record is from RNAcentral. Lineage: Eukaryota; Viridiplantae; Streptophyta; Magnoliopsida; Malpighiales; Salicaceae.
GAAUGACUACCUGUAAUAAAGCACACGCUAAUAUAGUAAGGAGCUAUGAAGCCCUUCCCUUCUCGUAACUCUCCCCAUUCAUUGAGCUAUCUUCAGUUUCCUUAAGGUAAGGUGCUCUUCCUUACUUGAUAAUGAUUGGCUACCUAAGGUAAGGGGCCUCUACAGCUUGAGUCGGUCGGUCCGGCUACUCGGAAGGCGUGGCCAUUAGUUGGAGGCCAGGGAGAAAGGCAACUCGUUUCGUCAACUGUGAAGGCGAGGCGGUCAGGGAUGCUGCUGAGCCAACGGGGUCUAAGGCUAUGAAUUUCAAACUGGAAGGGAUCCGGGGCGAGGUACUACCAACCCUGCUUCUGCUGGAUCAAGAAAUUUGAUUUUCGAAUAUUCUUUAUAUCUAAAAAGAUAAAUUUUAUCUAUUUAGAAUAAAUUCUUCUUUUUGAAAUAGAAAAUUUCUUUCAAACCUAGCUCGAUAAGGGAGAGAAUGCCCUUACUUGGAAUCUAAAGCAUUCUUCUUCCUGCUCAUUUCUUCGGGUGUGCCUGUUAGGGUUGGGGACAAGGCAAUGCCAGUUGAACACACCAGUUCAAUAACAAGAGGAGCUGUGUUGCUUGAUGAAAGAAGCGGAUCUGGGUGGUUCAACUGGAUUCCUUGUACCAGUUUAUUCCUUAUAGGUGUUCUGCUAGCUUCAUCGUGCCUGCUUGCAACAAGAAGAUUUUAGUGAGUUCAAUAUUUAUGCAACCAUGCUAAUUUCACCACAAGCUGAUGCCAUCAAAUGCUGAGUUAAGAGAAUCGAGUUGGAACGUACUCUUACCUAGCUCCUACCCAGUUGACAGCUUUUGGAAAGAAGCUAGCUGAAGGUGAUGCAGGGGAUUUUGGUCGAAGAUCCACGUAUAUAAUUCUUUAUUUUACCGUUGGACCGGGUAAAGCCAAAACGCAUAGAAGUUACUGUUCAUAAUUUUACUAUAUUUUUGUAUUUUAUUUAGAAUUAUUUUAUAUUUAUAUAUUUAAUUUAAAACCCUAUUUAGCCUUUGGAAACAAGCUAGUUGCAAUGAUAUAUCUGUUAGUGUUGAGC